This 210-nucleotide long non-coding RNA is filed under the name Vitis vinifera (wine grape). RNAcentral describes it as "long non-coding RNA (VVIN_LNC004996)". The record is from RNAcentral. Lineage: Eukaryota; Viridiplantae; Streptophyta; Magnoliopsida; Vitales; Vitaceae.
CCGAGCCCAAAAGCCAUGUAACCAUGCAAGUCAUACAAGUCAAGCUAAAAAUGUCUUAAUGGGCCAAGUGCGUCUAAAAGGGCUUAGGUGAACCUAAAUGAGCCUAAGGUUGGGACAAGGGUGCCUAAAUGGACCUAAGGUGUCUAAAUGGGCCAAGUGUAUCUAAAUAGGCUUAGGGUGCCUAAAUGGGUCAAGGGUGCCUAAGUGAAG